CGGCGGACGGGUGAGUAACGCGUGGGCAACCUGCCUUACACAGGGGGAUAACAGUUAGAAAUGACUGCUAAUACCGCAUAAGACCACAGUACUGCAUGGUGCAGUGGUAAAAACUCCGGUGGUGUAAGAUGGGCCCGCGUCUGAUUAGGUAGUUGGCGGGGUAACGGCCCACCAAGCCGACGAUCAGUAGCCGACCUGAGAGGGUGACCGGCCACAUUGGGACUGAGACACGGCCCAGACUCCUACGGGAGGCAGCAG
This 258-nucleotide ribosomal RNA is filed under the name uncultured bacterium. RNAcentral describes it as "partial 16S ribosomal RNA". It matches the Rfam family "Bacterial small subunit ribosomal RNA", at positions 96 to 354 of the family's 1533-position model. The record is from RNAcentral.